Molecule: ribosomal RNA, 432 nt
Filed under: uncultured bacterium
Lineage: Bacteria
Description: partial 16S ribosomal RNA
Rfam family: Bacterial small subunit ribosomal RNA
Source: RNAcentral
AACGAACGCUGGCGGCAGGCCUAACACAUGCAAGUCGAGCGGACGUACCGUGGUCAGCGGCGGACGGGUGUGUAACGCGUGGGAAGAGGCCCGUCUCUACGGAAUAGUACUGUGAAACUGGGGGUAAUACCGUGUACGCCCCGUGGGGGACAGAUAGAGCGGGGGAGGAUUAGCCCGCGUUGUUUUAGGUUGUUGGUGGGGUAAUGGCCUACGAAGCCGACGAUCCCUAGCUGGUUUGAGAGGAUGGUCCGCGACACUGAGACUGAGAAGCGGUGCAGACUAUUACGGGAGGGAGCAGUGGCGAAUCCUGGAAUACGGGGUGAAUCAUGAUGUCGUCAUGGCUGGUAAGUGAUGAAGGCGGUAGGGUUGUGCAGCUCUUUCAGCCCGUACUGUAAUGACGGUACCAGAAGAAGAAGCCCCGGCUAACUCCGU